CCUACGGGAGGCAGCAGUAAGGAAUAUUGGUCAAUGGACGCAAGUCUGAACCAGCCAUGCCGCGUGAAGGAUUAAGGCCCUCUGGGUUGUAAACUUCUUUUAUAGGGGACGAAAAAAGGGCAUUCUUGCUCACUUGACGGUACCCUAGGAAUAAGCACCGGCUAACUCCGUGCCAGCAGCCGCGGUAAUACGGAGGGUGCAAGCGUUAUCCGGAUUUACUGGGUUUAAAGGGUGCGUAGGUGGGUUGGUAAGUCAGUGGUGAAAUCUUCGAGCUUAACUCGGAAACUGCCAUUGAUACUAUCAAUCUUGAAUCAUCUAGAGGUAAGCGGAAUAUGUCAUGUAGCGGUGAAAUGCUUAGAUAUGACAUAGAACACCAAUUGCGAAGGCAGCUUACUAUGGAUGCAUUGACACUGAGGCACGAAAGCGUGGGGAUCAAACAGGAUUAGAUACCCUGGUAGUCCACGCCCUAAACCGAUGGAUACUCGACAUUUGUGAUAUACAAUAAGUGUCUGAGCGAAAGCAUUAAGUAUCCACCUGGGAAGUACGACCGCAAGGUUGAAACUUCAAAUUGAAUUGACGGG
Molecule: ribosomal RNA, 581 nt
Filed under: uncultured bacterium
Lineage: Bacteria
Description: bacterial SSU rRNA
Rfam family: Bacterial small subunit ribosomal RNA
Source: RNAcentral